GUUUAAUUCGAUGCAACGCGAAGAACCUUACCUACCCUUGACAUCCUGCGAAUCCUAAUGAGAGUUGGGAGUGCCGAAAGGAACGCAGAGACAGGUGCUGCAUGGCUGUCGUCAGCUCGUGUUGUGAGAUGUUGGGUUAAGUCCCGUAACGAGCGCAACCCUUGUCCUUAGUUGCCAGCAUUAAGUUGGGGACUCUAAGGAGACUGCCGGUGAGGAACCGGAGGAAGGCGGGGACGACGUCAAGUCAUCAUGGCCUUUAUGGGUAGGGCUACACACGUGCUACAAUGGGGCGUACAGAGAGUCGCGAACCCGCGAGGGGGAGCCAAUCUCCAAAAGCGUCUCGUAGUCCGGAUUGGAGUCUGCAACUCGACUCCAUGAAGUUGGAAUCGCUAGUAAUCGCGAAUCAGCAUUGUCGCGGUGAAUACGUUCCCGGGCCUUGUACACACCGCC
This 450-nucleotide ribosomal RNA is filed under the name uncultured Gammaproteobacteria bacterium. RNAcentral describes it as "bacterial SSU rRNA". It matches the Rfam family "Bacterial small subunit ribosomal RNA", at positions 944 to 1394 of the family's 1533-position model. Lineage: Bacteria; Pseudomonadati; Pseudomonadota; Gammaproteobacteria. The record is from RNAcentral.